UACGUAGGGACCAAGCGUUGUUCGGAUUUACUGGGCGUAAAGGGCGCGUAGGCGGCCCUACAAGUCACUUGUGAAAUCUCCGGGCUUAACUCGGAACGGCCAAGUGAAACUGUAAGGCUAGAGUGCAGAAGGGGCAAUCGGAAUUCUUGGUGUAGCGGUGAAAUGCGUAGAUAUCAAGAGGAACACCUGAGGUGAAGACGGGUUGCUGGGCUGACACUGACGCUGAGGCGCGAAAGCGUGGGGAGCAAACAGG
This 253-nucleotide ribosomal RNA is filed under the name uncultured bacterium. RNAcentral's name for it is "partial 16S ribosomal RNA". It matches the Rfam family "Bacterial small subunit ribosomal RNA", at positions 524 to 776 of the family's 1533-position model. The record is from RNAcentral.